CCCUUAGAUGUUCUGGGCCGCACGCGCGCUACACUGAUGCAUUCAACGAGUUUCUUCCUGGUCCGAGAGGAAUGGGUAACCUCUUGAAAGUGCAUCGUGAUAGGGAUAGACUAUUGCAAUUAUUGGUCUUCAACGAGGAAUUCCUAGUAGACGUAGUUCAUCAGACUGCAUCGAUUACGUCCCUGCCCUUUGUACACACCGCCCGUCGCUCCUACCGAUUGAAUGCUCAGGUGAGCCAUUCGGACUUUCAUCAUGCUGGUUUCCAGUUUUGAUGAAGGAAAGUCUUGCGAACCUUAUCAUUUAGAGGAAGGAGAAGUCGUAACA
Molecule: ribosomal RNA, 324 nt
Filed under: uncultured eukaryote
Lineage: Eukaryota
Description: partial 18S ribosomal RNA
Rfam family: Eukaryotic small subunit ribosomal RNA
Source: RNAcentral